UAGCAUGUGGGGACUCUCGGGACCUGUCAAACCAAGAGGGAGAGCCAACUCCUAGAGACCUGGAGGCUUCUAGUACUUCAGGACAGACAGGCUGAAAGAAGAUGUGGGCUCAGCCUGUGCCAACGUUUGAAGAAGCCCAGGUUGCACUUGGUCCUUCUUUUAAGGCUCGAUGGUCCUGCUUAUCAAAGCAUUCCCCUGGCGAACGCAGUGGAGGGAAUUUAAAUUCUGUCUUGGUGGAAUUUGAACCAAAGCACACUGCCCAGUGCCACUUUAUACGCUGGGAAUCAUCAAGCCAGCUACGAAUAUCUCGAGGGGUCCUUGCCGUUGUUCAACAUAAAUCAGCGAAAUGACAGGCAAUUGACUCUGAAGACAGCUCUCACAUGGCAGAGAGGCAGGAGCUGCUGGAAGCAAAUGAGGGCAUUUUCCUGUAAACCACUUGUGAUUAGCGCCAGAGUAAACAGUAGAUCAGGCUUUAUCUUCCACUCUAC
This 488-nucleotide long non-coding RNA is filed under the name Mus pahari (shrew mouse). RNAcentral's name for it is "lncRNA (MGP_PahariEiJ_G0005403.1)". Lineage: Eukaryota; Metazoa; Chordata; Mammalia; Rodentia; Muridae. The record is from RNAcentral.